Molecule: ribosomal RNA, 548 nt
Filed under: Gaeumannomyces graminis
Lineage: Eukaryota; Fungi; Ascomycota; Sordariomycetes; Magnaporthales; Magnaporthaceae
Description: eukaryotic LSU rRNA
Rfam family: 5.8S ribosomal RNA (bases 177-330)
Source: RNAcentral
AACAAGGUCUCCGUUGGUGAACCAGCGGAGGGAUCAUUACAGAGUUGAAAAACUCCAACCCCUGUGAACCUACCUUUACUGUUGCUUCGGCGGACGAUGGCCCCCGGGCCGGACGCCGCCGGAGGUUACAAACCCUGAAUUUUAGUGUAUCUCUGAGUACGAAACCAAAUAAUUAAAACUUUCAACAACGGAUCUCUUGGUUCUGGCAUCGAUGAAGAACGCAGCGAAAUGCGAUAAGUAAUGUGAAUUGCAGAAUUCAGUGAAUCAUCGAAUCUUUGAACGCACAUUGCGCCCGCCGGUAUUCCGGCGGGCAUGCCUGUCCGAGCGUCAUUUCACCACUCAAGCCCAGCUUGGCGUUGGGGCACCCGGCCGCCCGGCGGUCGGGGCCCCCAAGAACAUCGGCGGUCUCGCUAGGACCCUGAGCGCAGUAACUCGCGGUAAAACGCGCUUCGCUCGGAGGCUUUCCCGGCGGGCUCCAGCCGCUAAACCCCCUAAACUUCUUAGGUUGACCUCGGAUCAGGUAGGAAUACCCGCUGAACUUAAGCAUA